This is a long non-coding RNA of Homo sapiens (human), 3655 nucleotides long. RefSeq lists it as uncharacterized. The transcript is spliced from 12 exons. The record is from RefSeq and is a predicted model, not a curated record. NCBI's taxonomy places the organism in Eukaryota, Metazoa, Chordata, Mammalia, Primates, Hominidae.
UCAGAAAAAUAAUCUCAUUGUGCUGGACAGAUGCGUUUCCUGCAUUAUUGAUAUAGUCACUCUGGAGUAAUAGAGAAAUAUAAAGCAUUGUUCUAUUUACAAAAGGAGAUUGGCCAAGUCCUUGAAAGAUCCCCUGAAAUGCUGGGCACACUGACUAGCCUCUUGUAUAGAGUCUCAAGCCUGUGGCCAGAAGCAGCUGUGUGAAGUAGCCGCUGUGAUGGAUUGGGACCACAGAUACCACUUUGGAAGGAAAGGUUCCAGAAACCAAAGCUUGGGCCAUGGGUCUCUGGGAAACUGCAGCAGGAGUUUAGAGUCUAAUGGAUGGAACACAGAAGCAGGAAAAAAAUUGCUGUAGAAUAUGAUAAAGAUUAAUAGAGGCUUUGGGAAAGGCCUGUUUCCUGGCACUAAAAGUAGCCAGUCUUGGCGUGAACAGCCCUUGACAAUUCCCAGCAUAUGGUAAGAGAAGACGCUUCUGCCCACCCAUCAGGCAUGGAAAGGAGCAAUAAUACACGCAACACUGAACAGGACCAUGCCCUCUUCUAAAUGACAUUAUGGACUUCCCGACACUUGAAAAUGUAUGGGCUUGGCCAGAGGAAAUACUCAGAAUGAAGGAUUGCAUCUUCCGACCAGAAGCAGGUGCUGAGGAUGGAUAUGACAUCAAAACAGAAGGGUUGAUAGGGAGGAUCAUUAACCAUCAGAGAAAUUGCUAACUGCCCUGGAACACAGCACAUUCUUGGGUGAAAAGUCACUUGAAUGCCUGUUGGAGCCAUCACUAUGGAUUGCCGGCUAUUCUGACUUGGAGUUUGAGGCUGACAUCUGAAACCACAGGUGAGGACUCUGACACAUCCAGAUUUUGUAAGUUGCAUAGAAUGAAUUUCACAGGACGCAUCCAAUUCAUGGACUCUUACAAGUUUGUAUCAACACCUACAGCUCUGACCUCUGGGAAUGAAGAAGAUACUUAACAAUAGUUUUGAUGGACUAGAAAAUCAACAGAGAUAAUAUCCAUAUUCGUAUUGGUAGCCCCAUUGUAUUUAGAUAGUGUGAGCCAGCAGUGUUCACUUCCACCCAAUUCAGGGACUUCCUCUAGCAAGGUAUUGCAGUUUGGAAGUGGGAACAGAAGAGACUGUGCAAUCUUCACAGGAGAACAUUGUCAUGACAAAGAGGACAAACAAGUUCAAGGCAAAAAACUAAACCAUAACCUUGGGAUUCAAGGAAAAAGUCAUCAAGCACAGAGGGGGAAUAAAUGAAAGAAUAUAUCUCAGAGUUUUGGGAAGCCAUAAGGAUACUUAACAUGCCCUUUCAUCUGGCUUCUGGCUGGUGAGAAAUGUUCUUCCUGGAUGCCUUUAGACAUGGAAGAAUAGAAAUAACCACUUAAAGCUCCCGCCAUUUCUGUUCUUUGGCAACCCUGAAAAAGCUGAAAGAGGCUGAUCAUCGCUAAUGUAUUGAACAUCUUUUGAAGCCCCAAUGACUGCCACCAACAAAGAACAGACACAUGUGCUAUCUGGACUCAAUGUUCUGCGGCGAAAUGCGACGUUCUUUAUUUUAGUGUGUCAUCAAAGGCGAUGAAAAUAUCAUUCUAGCCUUCUAGGCUUAACCCUGUGGACUCUCGAUGACUAGAAGUUUCAUGUGAGCAGCGCACACACCCAGUCAGCGUGAGCAGCAGCACUGGCCCACGCAGGUCCACGGCACGGAAAGGAGAUUCGAUUCACAAAUCUGUUACCCGGACAUUUUUAUUCAUCGCCACGAGAUCAUUACAGCGACAAGCCCACAUCUGACGUUUAUGAUCUUGUUCGCUUUGCCAAAGUGGAGGAGGGGGGCAGACAGCUUGGGGGAUCUACAGCAGGAGGGAAAUGGCACCACUCAGACUCCUGCAAGCUCGUCAGCCACUGCAGGGAUUCUGAAGACCUUUUUUCUCGUCCAGGCUCCGCUGGCUGGUGCCUUCCAGGUUUUCUUUGGAUGCAUGAGUACGAGCUUGUUAGCUCAAAUCUGUUGUGCAAUUGUCCUUUUUGUGUGCCUGGCUGGAUUCCCUCGCACUAACAUUUAAAAAGAGCCCAUGCACAGAACUGAACAGGGGAUAAAGAUUUUGUGCACGACAGACCUGACUCAACCGCAACCAGCUGGCGCUUCUGCUGGGCUCUACUCUUGCCUAGGAAUGCUUCUAGCACCUUCCGCAUGACCAUUGGCUCUAAAGAUGCCUCCUGUUUAUCUUCUCCUCCUUAACAAAUAGUCUCUGUAGCGGCUGCAGUAAAUCUCUUUCAGUCUGGAGGCAACAGCCCUUGGGUGUUUGUCCUUUUUCCUCCCUCCGCUUCUCCCCCCUCAGCCUGCGUGUGUCUUUGACAAUAAUUGUCUUUGACAAUUAUUUCAAAAUGUCCGUACUUUUGGCCUCUUGAUGACAAAGAAAAGAGCCCGUAAAGUGCAAGGAAACUUCUCUCUAUUUCCAUUCAGACCGCAGUACACAGGCAGGGCAGCAGGUCCCGGGGAAAGGGGCAUUUGCCUGCUCUGUUUCCCAGUUGAGGGGCAGAUAAUAAGCGGCAGGGGCUUCUGCCUACAGCCAUCAUGACACAGGACCCAACUCAUCCUUUUUUAAUGGCAAUAAAUAAAUGACGGAAGUUUUAGCCACUAGACUAGUGAAUUGGUGGUUAAGCCUCAGGCUUUUAUCUCCCUGACCCCUGUUUGAACUCAACCUUGGUUCCUAAGUGCAGGGCAGACAAAGUGGGGUGGGAGGAGGGUUUCUUAUCGACAUGAACACCCCUUCCAGCUCAACAUAAAGAAAUAUGAUGCCAUGUGUGUGCCUGUGGCUCAGAGCAAAAGAGGGUAGGGAAGGAUUUGUUGGGACAAAGUGAGAAGAGACUUAAAUACCAGCUACUAUUUCUGGAUGUCUAUCCCAUAGCUUAAGAGUUUAAUAGAGAACAUAUUAAUGAAUUCCACUAGCAUUUAUAGAGGGAGGGGAUUAUCAGUUGUGUGCGAGGCCCUGUGCACACUGCUGGAGGUAGAAGUUUAAAAAGACAAACUGAGGAAGUUGGAAAUGGGGAAGCCCAAAGCUGACACCAGCCCAGGUGAAUAUGUAUUGAACCAUGAAUAUGUCAAUCACUGUGUUAAAACACUUUAUGUGCAUUAUUUCACUUUCUUCUGUUUAUCUUCUCCUCCUUAACAAGUUGUUGGAAUCCUCACAACAACUUUAUGAAUCAGGUACUCUUGUUUUCUAAUUUUACAGAUGAGGCAGUUGUGAUUUAGAGAAGUUAUGUAAUUUAUCCAAGGUUACAUGCGUGGGAAAUGAAGCCAGGAUAAAAAUCCUCAUCUAACUCUGUAUUAUAUCACUUUCAUGAAAAAAAAAGUGCUUACUGCAUGAGGUUCUCUAGUUUGAUAGAUGAUGACUCCAUUUUCCAGUCAAGAUUCCAUAUGCAUAUUCUGGCAAUUCCGAAUGUAUUCAUGAAAACUGUGGGUCUGACUGUUUGAGAUUAAGAUACUAUCUUUAUGCAGUCCAUUUUCUUAUCUGAAAAAUGAGCAUGAUGAUAAUGAUCUUCAGUGUCUCUUGGUCUGAUAGUUUUCAAAAUGGUUUAGAGAAUAAAUGCCUGUAUGGAAACUAGGUUUGGAUGCCUUCUUGGCGAUAACUGUUCACCGUGCCUUCCAGCAAGAUUCCCAAGUACUUUGCCUA